RNAcentral lists this ribosomal RNA (253 nucleotides) under uncultured bacterium. RNAcentral describes it as "partial 16S ribosomal RNA". It matches the Rfam family "Bacterial small subunit ribosomal RNA", at positions 524 to 776 of the family's 1533-position model. The record is from RNAcentral.
UACGGAGGGGGCGAGCGUUAUUCGGAAUUAUUGGGCGUAAAGGGCGCGUAGGCGGCUUGACAAGUCAAAGGUGAAAUCCCUCGGCUCAACUGAGGAACUGCCUUUGAAACUGUCUGGCUUGAGGCCGGGAGGGGGUAGCGGAAUUCCCAGUGUAGCGGUGAAAUGCGCAGAUAUCAGGAGGAACACCGGUGGCGAAGGCGGGUCUCUGGGCCGAUACUGACGCUGAGGAGCGAAAGCGUGGGGAGCGAACAGG